Molecule: ribosomal RNA, 492 nt
Filed under: uncultured bacterium
Lineage: Bacteria
Description: partial 16S ribosomal RNA
Rfam family: Bacterial small subunit ribosomal RNA
Source: RNAcentral
AGUGAACGCUGGCGGUAGGCCUAACACAUGCAAGUCGAACGGCAGCACAGUAAGAGCUUGCUCUUACGGGUGGCGAGUGGCGGACGGGUGAGGAAUACAUCGGAAUCUACUUUUUCGUGGGGGAUAACGUAGGGAAACUUACGCUAAUACCGCAUACGACCUACGGGUGAAAGCAGGGGAUCUUCGGACCUUGCGCGAUUGAAUGAGCCGAUGUCGGAUUAGCUAGUUGGCGGGGUAAAGGCCCACCAAGGCGACGAUCCGUAGCUGGUCUGAGAGGAUGAUCAGCCACACUUGAACUGAGACACGGUCCAGACUCCUACGGGAGGCAGCAGUGGGGAAUAUUGGACAAUGGGCGCAAGCCUGAUCCAGCCAUACCGCGUGGGUGAAGAAGGCCUUCGGGUUGUAAAGCCCUUUUGUUGGGAAAGAAAAGCAGCAGGUUAAUACCCCGCUGUUCUGACGGUACCCAAAGAAUAAGCACCGGCUAAGUUCGUG